This 506-nucleotide ribosomal RNA is filed under the name uncultured bacterium. RNAcentral describes it as "partial 16S ribosomal RNA". It matches the Rfam family "Bacterial small subunit ribosomal RNA", at positions 29 to 523 of the family's 1533-position model. The record is from RNAcentral.
AGUGAACGCUGGCGGUAGGCCUAACACAUGCAAGUCGAACGGCAGCACAGGAAAGCUUGCUCUCUGGGUGGCGAGUGGCGGACGGGUGAGGAAUACAUCGGAAUCUACUCUGUCGUGGGGGAUAACGUAGGGAAACUUACGCUAAUACCGCAUACGACCUACGGGUGAAAGCAGGGGACCUUCGGGCCUUGCGCGAUUGAAUGAGCCGGUGUCGGAUUAGCUGGUUGGCGGGGUAAAGGCCCACCAAGGCGACGAUCCGUAGCUGGUCUGAGAGGAUGAUCAGCCACACUGGAACUGAGACACGGUUCAGACUCCUACGGGAGGCAGCAGUGGGGAAUAUUGGACAAUGGGCGCAAGCCUGAUCCAGACAUACCGCGUGGGUGAAGAAGGCCUUCGGGUUGUAAAGCCCUUUUGUUGGGAAAGAAAUCCAGCUGGCUAAUACCCGGUUGGGAUGACGGUACCCAAAGAAUAAGCACCGGCUAACUUCGUGCCAGCCGCCGCAGUAA